RNAcentral lists this ribosomal RNA (580 nucleotides) under uncultured bacterium. RNAcentral describes it as "bacterial SSU rRNA". It matches the Rfam family "Bacterial small subunit ribosomal RNA", at positions 102 to 669 of the family's 1533-position model. The record is from RNAcentral.
ACGGGUGAGUAACACGUGGAUAACCUACCUAUAAGACUGGGAUAACUUCGGGAAACCGGAGCUAAUACCAGAUAACAUGUUGAACCGCAUGGUUCAACAGUGAAAGACGGUCUUGCUGUCACUUAUAGAUGGAUCCGCGCCGCAUUAGCUAGUUGGUAAGGUAACGGCUUACCAAGGCAACGAUGCGUAGCCGACCUGAGAGGGUGAUCGGCCACACUGGAACUGAGACACGGUCCAGACUCCUACGGGAGGCAGCAGUAGGGAAUCUUCCGCAAUGGGCGAAAGCCUGACGGAGCAACGCCGCGUGAGUGAUGAAGGUCUUCGGAUCGUAAAACUCUGUUAUUAGGGAAGAACAAAUGUGUAAGUAACUAUGCACGUCUUGACGGUACCUAAUCAGAAAGCCACGGCUAACUACGUGCCAGCAGCCGCGGUAAUACGUAGGUGGCAAGCGUUAUCCGGAAUUAUUGGGCGUAAAGCGCGCGUAGGCGGUUUUUUAAGUCUGAUGUGAAAGCCCACGGCUCAACCGUGGAGGGUCAUUGGAAACUGGAAAACUUGAGUGCAGAAGAGGAAAGUGGAAUUC